AUGGGCUUUGCUCAAAGUUCAGAGGGAGGGUCGCUCAGUAGCUUGCCUUGCCAGCACGCGUGUUGGGUUUGUGCAGGAGGAGGGGCAGUGAUUCCUCAGCCUCUCUCCCCUUCUGCCAUAAGGGCUGAUGGCCACCCUGGGUCACGGGUGGCUUCAGGGGGCUGUGACCCUUUGGUGUGCGUGGUGGCACCGCUCAGAGCUGAUGCACCCCAAGCUUUGCUUCUGGGACAUGGUGGUGUCUUGUGGCCCGGCACUGGGUACAAAAGGGCUUCAAGAGCUGCCUCGUUGCAUGGAGUAGGAGAGAUCGGGGUGCCCUAUGGGGAUGGUUUGGGCUGGGUGCCAGGAAGGGAAGAGUACAGGCAGUCUGCUUUGCUUUUCCUUUCCUUGCUGGUUUGCCGUGCUGCUUUCCCAUCCUCCCUUCCUACUGCCACGGUGCCACGUCCCUGUGCCUCCCGCACACCCCUCCAACUUGGGGACGUCCCCCAAACGUGGGGUGCAGGAGGUGCCCCUGGAUCAGCAUUGUGCCCCAGCAGCCCAGCUCUGAACGACAGAGCUCUGCUCUGUGCUCCGGAGGUGCCCGUACAUCAUCUGCCGAAAUCAAGGCAGCCUUUGAGGACCACGUCACGCUAUCAACAGGAUGUUAAUCCCAGGCUUCAGGUUACAGAGAGAAGGGACAUUUGCCCUUAUCUUUUCAUUCCCCUUUUGACUCUCAUUACCGCAGGUGAAAGCUUAUCCAGCCGCUUCCCCCACUACCAAACCCUGACGCUGCAUUCAAGGGAAUUCAAAUCCUCAUUGUGCAUGGCAGGGCCCUUUCUAACACUGAGGCCAUUGGCUCUCAGACCACUUAUGGAAGCUGCUGGGUGGCUCUGGAUCCCUGGUGGGGCUAUGCUCCUCUUCAGCUCCAUGCUGCAGGCUCCUGAGCUGCACAGGGGCAGGAUUUGUCCUUGUGCCACCCGGCUGGGGCUGCAGAAUGGGACAUUUGGGCUCUUUGCUUUCUGCCCACGAGCACUUCUGGCGUUGUAUUUUUUGCUCCAUUCACACUCCAGCUCUGGAUGCACGAAGCAGUGGUGCUUCUCUUUCCCUCCUCGUUCCUCGGCCAUACUCCCUUGA
Molecule: long non-coding RNA, 1110 nt
Filed under: Numida meleagris (helmeted guineafowl)
Lineage: Eukaryota; Metazoa; Chordata; Aves; Galliformes; Numididae
Description: lncRNA (ENSNMEG00000005625.1)
Source: RNAcentral